RNAcentral lists this transfer RNA (72 nucleotides) under Nipponia nippon (crested ibis). It matches the Rfam family "tRNA". Rfam says of the family: Transfer RNA (tRNA) molecules are approximately 80 nucleotides in length. Their secondary structure includes four short double-helical elements and three loops (D, anti-codon, and T loops). Lineage: Eukaryota; Metazoa; Chordata; Aves; Pelecaniformes; Threskiornithidae. The record is from Rfam by way of RNAcentral.
GCUGUGAUCGUAUAGUGGUCAGUACUCUGCGUUGUGCCCCCAGCAACCUCGGUUCGAAUCCGAGUCACAGCA